Gallus gallus (chicken) is the source of this 1784-nucleotide long non-coding RNA. RefSeq lists it as uncharacterized. The record is from RefSeq and is a predicted model, not a curated record. The transcript is spliced from 3 exons. Lineage: Eukaryota; Metazoa; Chordata; Aves; Galliformes; Phasianidae.
AAGCCUUCAUUUUGGAGGCAAAUUUGGCCUGGAAUGCACAGUAGUUGGAUUCAUUUUGUCAUGUAAGUUGGUGAUAUGCUCUGAAAAGGAAGUCUCUUAUCUGACUAUAUAUGAUUGCACUGACCGUAAUUCCCACUGUCUCACAUUGGCUGCUACAGUGUACUGUGUACAGGGUGCAUGAACCUGUUUCUUUAGACAGACAGCUGGAGCUCAGUGAAGGAAAUGCACGAAGGCACUCCCACUGUCCCUCAGCUCUCUGGGAGUUGGGACAGACUGCUGGGAAGAGCUCAAGACACCAGGAUGUAACAGGGAUGUCUCAGGCUGUCAGAAAAUUCUCAAUGCUACUGAGAGCACUGCUUCCACUGGGUUCCUGGGCAUCCCCUUGCAUUGCUUCAUUAUCCUGACUGUGAAGAAAGCACGAGGAGUAAGGAAUGAAGAAAUAUUGAACAAAAGUUAAGGAUCUGGAAAAAUGUGUACGUGCUUAGAUAAUAGGUACCUGAACAUCUCAGCAGUAAGACAUAGCUUUUCUUAAUCUGACUUUUUAAAGCACUCUGCUGACAAAAAUAUUUUAAGGAAGCUGGUUUAGGGAGUGAGAUGUUAACUAAGUAAACCUUGCAUUGCCUGCACUGAAAAUUUCAAUGAAGCUGAAAAGUGAACAAGGAAAUCCAAUCAGCCCUGACUGGGUUACACAACAAAAAAACAUUAGUGAUUGUAAGUUGGAGAUACCUUUUUUCACCAAAUGCAAGGCUUCUGGCUGGAAGAUGUAAUUUGUGGAACCAGAAUGUUGUUCUCAGGGUGCAUUUUCUUUUUCUUUAACAGAACUUAGUAAAAAAAAAAAAAAAAAAAAAAAAGUGAAACAAUAAUGAAAGUACUUCCUUCAAAAAUUAGCUCUUUCUGUGUCCUCAAUUGAAAAAAGCAAUAAAUACUGUUGGGGAUUUUUAAUGGUUGUUUUGGGGUUUUUUGUUUGUUUGUUUUCCUCUUUUGCCUCCUAUUUAUAAGGCAAACCUACUCCUGGUAGCUCUUAAAAGAAAUAAAGCAGUCAGUAUUAUUUUUCUUCUUCAGAAUGAAAUGAUUAUCCAAAUAUUUUGUCUUCAGAGACAGACAGUAGAGAGUUUACCUAGCUAACAUCUGCAUCACACCAGCUAGUUUUAGAAAGAGUUUGUCAGUAGAGUGCUUGAAAGUUCAUAUUAAGAAGAGACAAUUUCUAACCUGUCAAAACCUAACAAGAUUUCUUCUUCUAUUUUUUUUUGAGAAAGUUUAAUGGAAAGUACUAGAAACUUCAAAAAUUUCCUUAAGGAUAGUUGUAUUUAGUAAUAAAUUGAAGUACUUUUCUGCCUUUCUGCAUUUUUUUGGGGGGGGUGAGCAGGGAGAGGGGCGGGGGAUGGGACAACUAAUUAUAUCUCCUGAAGUGUAUUUCCAGAGAGAGAGGAUAAUGGAUUUAUCAAAUUUUUAAAAAAUAAUAAUAAUAAGAUUACAUUUUGUCUGUUUGUCUGUGAAAAUAAAUGUCCAUGCAUGUUUUGUAAAAUUUAUUUCAAAGCAUUACAAAAUUCUGUAGGAUUAAGGUAACAAAAUUCUUUUUUUUUUUUUUUUAAUGAGUCUUCAAUGGUAAAUAAAAACACAAGGCUCAAAUUUUGAUCCUGCUUCUUUUUUCUUGUAAAUAUGCUACAAUACAUAAAAUGUGUAAUAUCUAUCUGUGUUUCUUUUCUGAGGAAAUAUAGUUGCAAAGAACCUGCUUCCUUCCUCUGAGUAAUGAGACAUAAUUCAUUAACAGGAUUCUUAUAAGA